RNAcentral lists this long non-coding RNA (402 nucleotides) under Elaeis guineensis (African oil palm). Its description in RNAcentral is "long non-coding RNA (EGUI_LNC021829)". The record is from RNAcentral. Lineage: Eukaryota; Viridiplantae; Streptophyta; Magnoliopsida; Arecales; Arecaceae.
GAAAAUAUGUUAGAAAAAAGAAUGGUAAUUAUAUUGAUCAUGAAUAAUCAUCAUCUAUAUUUUGUUUGUAGUUACAUUUAUAUUUUUAAGAUAUUUUGGAUGGCUCUAUCAUAUUUUUUCUAAUUUCUUUUUUGUUAUAGGAAAAAAAUGGUAUUUAUGGUCAGAACCCCGAUAGCUAUAAGAAGAAGAGAACAAUGGGAAUAGGUUAGGGAGAUGGUGGGGUAGUUAGAUGAAUAUAGAAUGGAGCCAAAAGUUAAUAUGAUUGAGCAUAUCGAAAUAGUCAAUCAAAAAAUACAGGAUAUUAUAUUUGCAGGAUAUAUCAUGAAUGAAGAUAAAAAACUUUCAGCAUUAAGAAUGACUCUACCUAAAGUAAAGCAAUGUUUGUUAGAUCGAUUUUGGAGA